This 404-nucleotide ribosomal RNA is filed under the name uncultured bacterium. Its description in RNAcentral is "bacterial SSU rRNA". It matches the Rfam family "Bacterial small subunit ribosomal RNA", at positions 355 to 776 of the family's 1533-position model. The record is from RNAcentral.
UGGGGAAUUUUGCGCAAUGGGGGAAACCCUGACGCAGCAACGCCGCGUGGAGGAUGAAGUCCUUCGGGACGUAAACUCCUUUCGAUCGGGACGAUAAUGACGGUACCGGAAGAAGAAGCCCCGGCUAACUUCGUGCCAGCAGCCGCGGUAAUACGAGGGGGGCGAGCGUUGUUCGGAAUUAUUGGGCGUAAAGGGUGCGUAGGCGGCUUGGUAAGUCUUAUGUGAAAUCUAUGGGCUCAACUCAUAGACUGCAUGAGAAACUGCCGGGCUCGAGUGUGGGAGAGGUGAGUGGAAUUUCCGGUGUAGCGGUGAAAUGCGUAGAUAUCGGAAGGAACACCUGUGGCGAAAGCGGCUCACUGGACCACAACUGACGCUGAUGCACGAAAGCUAGGGGAGCAAACAGG